Long non-coding RNA from Brienomyrus brachyistius, 1142 nucleotides. RefSeq lists it as uncharacterized. Lineage: Eukaryota; Metazoa; Chordata; Actinopteri; Osteoglossiformes; Mormyridae. The record is from RefSeq and is a predicted model, not a curated record. The transcript has 3 exons.
AAAUUCAUGGCCGUAGAAAACAAGGUAGUUUAUGGGCAAAAUGAAUAAGCAAGCAAACAUCAGAAACGGGCAAGCAGCGCACAUGGUUUAUGCUUAACUUGCAGCUCGUUAUCCACGGCAGACCCAGGUAGGCGCCUGGGUUGAAACCAGGCUCUUGCCCUGAUCUAGGCGAUAAUCCUAAAAAGACAAUCAACCCGCUGGUAACUGCGGUGUUCGGAGUCAUGCAGCAAGCGUGUUGGGAAACACCCCUCUGGAUGUGAUCAAGACCAGAAUGCAGAGUCUGGAAGUACAAAAGCACCCUUGACUGUGCAGUGAAGAUCAUGAGAUAUGAAGGACCACUGGCAUUUUACAUGGGGAACGUUCCACGCCUGGCUCGCGUGUCUAUGGAUGUCACUGCAGUGCUCGUGGUCUACGAUCAGGCGGUCAGGCUCCUCGACAUGGUUUGGAAGACGCACUGAAAGGUGACGGCGGCGUGGAGCAUCUUGGAGCUGCCGCUUCCCUGAGGGACACAUCCAGGAAACGUUCUGUUAACUUCAAAGCGACGUUCUCCAACGUAAAAUAUCAUUCUGAUGCUGCUGUUUCAUGUUAUUCUAAUGAGAAUUAGGCCUCUGGCAUAUCCAGCUUUAUUUAUUUUUAGCUAAAAAUGUUUAGUCAGUAAAUAGUAAGCACAGACACAUUUUUAUGAAUAAAAUGAGAGCAUCAGUCAGGGUUGUACCACUUCCUCGCCUUUCGACAUGUCAGGUGGCUUGACUUUUGGUACUCUGCUGUCCUCCCGCAGUCCAGGGACAUUAAGUUAAGCUAACUGGCACCUCUGAACUCCCCAAAGUAUGUGUGUAUGUGCCCAUAGAUGGACUGACAGCCCAUUUAGAAUGUUCCCCUGCCUUGCGCCCUGUGCUGCCUGGGAUAGGUUCUAGGCCACUGUAACCCUGUCCACAAUAAACGAUUAGAUGAUGGAUGGAUGGAUGGAUGGAUGGAUGGAUGGAUGGAUGGAUGAAAAUACCAAAGAAAUAAAACUGAUUUGCUGAUUUUUUUUUUCUUGUGAUAGUGGCAUGAUCCUGUUUUCACUUGAUGGAUAUGUUGGAAUUUAUUCAUUUAUUUGCAUUUCACUUAAUGAAAGUACCGGAAGGACCAUUACUCUGCAA